AGAACGAACGCUGGCGGCAGGCUUAACACAUGCAAGUCGAGCGCCCCGCAAGGGGAGCGGCAGACGGGUGAGUAACGCGUGGGAAUCUACCCAAUCCUUCGGAAUAGCUCCGGGAAACUGGAAUUAAUACCGAGUACGCCCUACGGGGGAAAGAUUUAUCGGGGUUGGAUGAGCCCGCGUUGGAUUAGCUAGUCGGUGGGGUAAUGGCCUACCAAGGCGACGAUCCAUAGCUGGUCUGAGAGGAUGAUCAGCCACACUGGGACUGAGACACGGCCCAGACUCCUACGGGAGGCAGCAGUGGGGAAUAUUGGACAAUGGGCGCAAGCCUGAUCCAGCCAUGCCGCGUGAGUGAUGAAGGCCCUAGGGUUGUAAAGCUCUUUCAGUGGGGAAGAUAAUGACGGUACCCACAGAAGAAGCCCCGGCUAACUUCGUGCCAGCAGCCGC
RNAcentral lists this ribosomal RNA (444 nucleotides) under uncultured soil bacterium. Its description in RNAcentral is "bacterial SSU rRNA". It matches the Rfam family "Bacterial small subunit ribosomal RNA", at positions 26 to 518 of the family's 1533-position model. The record is from RNAcentral.